Molecule: non-coding RNA, 72 nt
Organism: Ornithorhynchus anatinus (platypus)
Lineage: Eukaryota; Metazoa; Chordata; Mammalia; Monotremata; Ornithorhynchidae
Source: Rfam
CAGUUUGAGGUGGACACGUGGUGCAGUAUGAUAGUGGAAUAAGCUGCAUCACGUGUGACCUCCAUACACCGU